Long non-coding RNA from Symphalangus syndactylus (siamang), 2602 nucleotides. RefSeq lists it as uncharacterized. NCBI's taxonomy places the organism in Eukaryota, Metazoa, Chordata, Mammalia, Primates, Hylobatidae. The record is from RefSeq and is a predicted model, not a curated record.
AGCCUGGUGGAGAUGUGGAGAACCUUUAUGUCUAGCUCAGGGAUUGUAAACACACCAAUCAACACCCUGUGUCUAGCUCGAGGUUUGUGGAUGCACCAAUCGACACUCUGUGUCUGGCUGCUCUGGUGGGGCCUUGGAGAACCUUUGUGUCCAUACUCUGUAUCUAACUGAUCUGAUGGGGACGUGGAGAACUUUUAUGUCUAGCUCAGGGAUGGUAAAUGCACCAAUCAGCGCCCUGUCAAAACAGACCACUCAGCUCUACCAAUCAGCAGGACGUGGGUGGGGCCAGAUAAGAGAAUAAAAGCAGGCUGCCCGAGCCAGCAGUGGCAACCAGCUCGGGUCCCCUUCCACACUGUGGAAGCUUUGUUCUUUCGCUCUUUGCAAUAAAUAUUGCUACUGUUCACUCUUUGGGUCCAUGCUGCUUUUAUGAGCUGUAACACUCACCACGAAGGUCUGCAGCUUCACUCCUGAAGCCAGCAAGACCACGAGCCCACUGGGAGGAACGAACAACUCCAGAUGUGCCGCCUUAAGAGCUGUAACACUCAACUGUGAAGGUCUGCAGCUUCACUCCUGAGCCAGCGAGACCACGAACCAACCAGAAGGAAGAAACUCCGAACACAUCCAAACAUCAGAAGAAACAAACUCUGGACAUGCCGCCUUUAGAACUGUAACACUCACCGCGAAAGUCUGCGGCUUCAUUCUUGAAGUCAGUGAGACCAAGAACCCACCAAUUCUGGACACAUUUUGGUGACCACGAAGGGACUUUCACCUAUUGCCAAGCAGUGAGACAAUCGCCAAACGGUGAGACUAUCGCCUAUCGCCGAGCGAAUUGAGGCCAUCAAGCUACAGAUGGUCUCACAAAUGGAACCCCAAAUGAGUUCAACUAACAACUUCUACCAAGGACCCCUGGACCAACCCGCUGGCACUUCCCCUGGCCUAGAGAAUUUCCCUCUGAAGGACACUACAAUUGCAGGGCCCCUUCUUCGCCCUUAUCCAGCAGGACGUAGCUGGAGUGGUCACUGGCCAAAUUCCCAACAGCAGUUGGGGUGUCCUGUUUAGAGGCGGGAUUGAGAGGUGACAGCGUGCUGGCAGUCCUCACAGCCCUCACUCGCUCUCGGCGCCUCCUCUGCCUGGGCUCCCACUUUGGCGGCACUUGAGCCCUUCAGCCCACCGCUGCACUGUGGGAGCCCCUUUCUGGGCUGGCCAAGGCGGGAGCUGGCUCCCUUGGCUUGCGGGGAGGUAUGGAGGGAGAGGCGCCAGCGGGAACUGGGGCUGUGCGCAGCGCUUGCGGGCCGGCUGGAGUUCCGGAUGGGGAUGGGCUUGGCGGGCCCCCCCCACUCGGAGCAGCCGGCCGGCCCUGCCCACCCUGGGCAAUGAGGGGCUUAGCACCCAGGCCAGCGGCUGUGGAGGGUGUACUGGGUCCCCCAGCAGUGCCGACCCACUGGCACUGCGCUCGAUUUCUCACCGGACCUUAGCUGCCUUCCCAUGGGGCAGGGCUCGGGACCUGCAGCCCGCCAUGCCUGAGCCUCCCACCCGCUUCAUGGGCUCCUGUGCGGCCGGAGCCUCCCCGACGAGCGCCACCCCCUGCUCCACGGCGCCCAGUUCCAUCGGCCACCCAAGGGCUGAGGAGUGCGAGCGCACGGCGCAGGACUGACAGGCAGCUCUACCUGCAGCCCCAGUGCAGGAUCCACUGGGUGAAGCCAGCUGGGCUCCUGAGCCUGGUGGAGAUGUGGAGAACCUUUAUGUCUAGCUCAGGGAUUGUAAACACACCAGUCAGCACCCUGUGUCUAGCUCGAGGUUUGUGGAUGCACCAAUCGACACUCUGUGUCUGGCUGCUCUGGUGGGGCCUUGGAGAACCUUUGUGUCCAUACUCUGUAUCUAACUGAUCUGAUGGGGGCGUGGAGAACUUUUAUGUCUAGCUCAGGGAUGGUAAAUGUACCAAUCAGCGCCCUGUCAAAACAGACCACUCAGCUCUACCAAUCAGCAGGACGUGGGUGGGGCCAGAUAAGAGAAUAAAAGCAGGCUGCCCGAGCCAGCAGUGGCAACCCGCUCGGGUCCCCUUCCACACUGUGGAAGCUUUGUUCUUUCGCUCUUUGCAAUAAAUAUUGCUACUGUUCACUCUUUGGGUCCAUGCUGCUUUUAUGAGCUGUAACACUCACUGCGAAGGUCUGCAGCUUCACUCCUGAAGCCAGCAAGACCAGAGCCCACUGGGAGGAACGAACAACUCCAGACGUGCCUUAAGAGCUGUAACACUCACUGCAAAGGUCUGCAGCUUCACUCCUGAGCCAGCGAGACCACGAACCAACCAGAAGGAAGAAACUCUGAACACAUCCGAACAUCAGAAGGAACAAACUCUGGACACGCCGCCUUUAGAACUGUAACACUCACCGCGAAAGUCCGCGGCUUCAUUCUUGAAGUCAGUGAGACCAAGAACCCACCAAUUCUGGACACAAGGGGACUUCCCAUUUCAUCCCCUCCCUUGCUUUCCCCUGCCUUGCCUUCACAGGGUCGUGGUCAAGUUUAAAUGGCAUUGUGUAUAGAAAGGACUUGAUGCAGAUUAAGGGUGUAGUAAAUAAUAUUACAAUAAAUGUAUUCUGUUGAC